UACGUAGGGUGCGAGCGUUGUCCGGAAUUAUUGGGCGUAAAGGGCUCGUAGGCGGUUUGUCGCGUCGGGAGUGAAAACCUUGGGCUUAACCCAGGGCUUGCUUUCGAUACGGGCAGACUAGAGGUAUGCAGGGGAGAACGGAAUUCCUGGUGUAGCGGUGAAAUGCGCAGAUAUCAGGAGGAACACCAAUGGCGAAGGCAGCUCGCUGGGACGGUACUGACGCUGAGGCGCGAAAGCGUGGGGAGCAAACAGG
Molecule: ribosomal RNA, 253 nt
Filed under: uncultured bacterium
Lineage: Bacteria
Description: partial 16S ribosomal RNA
Rfam family: Bacterial small subunit ribosomal RNA
Source: RNAcentral